Molecule: long non-coding RNA, 1270 nt
Organism: Manis pentadactyla (Chinese pangolin)
Lineage: Eukaryota; Metazoa; Chordata; Mammalia; Pholidota; Manidae
Exons: 2
Source: RefSeq, a predicted model, not a curated record
AUUUUGGAAGUGUCUGCCCCCCACACCCAUGCAGACUGCAGCUUGUGGGAAUAAAAAGAAAACGAGCACCUCCCAGCUGUGACCCUUGGGAUUCUGGACCAGAAAAUUCCCACAUGGUGCUGCCUGGUACACACCACUUGGGAGACAAUUAUGAACAUGCUGUUGGGAAUUAAUCAAGACUGCUUAAGUGACCGAAGGGCAGGCUGCCAGGAGGAUGCAAGGAGGCGCCCAUGGAUCCACGAGCAGGCAGCCUCAUCUCCUCUGGGACCGACACUGGAGCCCCCGGGGAACUGCAUGGACGGUGCCCUAGGAGCAGCUCUCAGCUGAACGACAGAGCUGCUUGGUUUACAGAGGGCAGUUCCAGGAGGCAUGGACAGUAUCCUGGUUGGAGGGCUGCUGCAGUAAGACCAGGGGAUGGCAAGACUGGCUGGGAGGAAGGAGAUAAACGUGAUCUCAGUGGGCUGAAUUCCAUGCCCUUUUCUGGGCAGUGACGGGAGAAUGGAGCAGUGAGGAAAGCCCCUCGUGCUGGGGUUCCUAUGACUUGGGGCUGUGGAUACUGGCCUGACUGUGUGGCCACGUAGACAGGAAAUGGGAAACUGGACUAUGAAAGCAAUGCCCACGUGGACAACGGCCAUAUGGAUAUUGCCCUGGGAAUUUGAGGGGCACGUUAAAGCAGGCCAUGUUGGUUUGUAUCAGAAGAAGCCUUUCUAGGAGUGGGAGGUGACUGUAGCCACCAGGUGGGCCUGCUGGUGCGGCCCUUGGAGGCAGCCGCCGGGGUCCAUACAAAGAGUGGCUGUGGGGAGCUGCAGCAGCGCGCGCACAGGCUGAGUCUACGCGUAUUCCUCUUGCACCCUGUGAGGCACGGAAUGCCAGCAAGACCUGUUCCGACUGUCAGCUAAAGAGACAGACACUGCAUUUGGCUAUGGGGAAAGUUCCCCAGUGGGCACGCCCUGCACAUAGCUGGCCAGUGGGUGAGAUUGGAUCAACGCUGCUACCGCUCGGAGGCUGUAAGUGGGUCGUUAGCAGAGUAGACACUUAUUCGGGACUAUGCUUUGCAUACCCAGUGGUAGGUGAAAUGCUGAAGACACCGUUUAAGGUUUGGAACUGAAGAUUCUAUACCAGUUUGGACAGCCAGGUUACAUCUCCGACCAGGGGACACGCUUUACCGACCAUGCUGUUCCACGGUGGGCCGAGAAACAUCCCAUCAGACGGAUGUACAGUGUUGCAUGUCACUCUCAGAGCAAUGGUUUAAUAGAAAAUUGGAACGGGC